ACAAAAGUGCAUGUGUUGUGAACUCGAAGAGUAGGGCGGGACACGUGGUAUCCUGUCUGAAUAUGGGGGGACCAUCCUCCAAGGCUAAAUACUCCUGACUGACCGAUAGUGAACCAGUACCGUGAGGGAAAGGCGAAAAGAACCCCGGCGAGGGGAGUGAAAAAGAACCUGAAACCGUGUACGUACAAGCAGUGGGAGCACCCUUUGGGGUGUGACUGCGUACCUUUUGUAUAAUGGGUCAGCGACUUAUAUUCUGUAGCAAGGUUAACCGAAUAGGGGAGCCGAAGGGAAACCGAGUCUUAACUGGGCGUUAAGUUGCAGGGUAUAGACCCGAAACCCGGUGAUCUAGCCAUGGGCAGGUUGAAGGUUGGGUAACACUAACUGGAGGACCGAACCGACUAAUGUUGAAAAAUUAGCGGAUGACUUGUGGCUG
Molecule: ribosomal RNA, 433 nt
Filed under: Citrobacter freundii
Lineage: Bacteria; Pseudomonadati; Pseudomonadota; Gammaproteobacteria; Enterobacterales; Enterobacteriaceae
Description: partial 23S ribosomal RNA
Rfam family: Bacterial large subunit ribosomal RNA
Source: RNAcentral